RNAcentral lists this ribosomal RNA (254 nucleotides) under uncultured bacterium. RNAcentral's name for it is "partial 16S ribosomal RNA". It matches the Rfam family "Bacterial small subunit ribosomal RNA", at positions 524 to 776 of the family's 1533-position model. The record is from RNAcentral.
UACGUAGGGUGCGAGCGUUGUCCGGAAUUAUUGGGCGUAAAGGGCUCGUAGGCGGUGUGUCGCGUCGGCCGUGAAAACCUGCAGCUUAACUGUGGGCUUGCGGUCGAUACGGGCAUCACUGGAGUUCGGCAGGGGAGACUGGAAUUCCUGGUGUAGCGGUGAAAUGCGCAGAUAUCAGGAGGAACACCGGUGGCGAAGGCGGGUCUCUGGGCCGAUACUGACGCUGAGGCGCGAAAGCCAGGGGAGCAAACGGG